CAACAAGUUUUGGUUUAUUUGGGUACAUUAACAAACUAAUUCAGACCCACUGUGGCUCAUCCCUCAUUCAGCAUGUAUGAGUUUUCAUUAAUGACCCCUUUCCCAUACUGUUUCUUCCCAUUUGUCCUACGUGCUUGCUUUUGGCUGUCAGAACAUGCACCUUGCAGGGACGAUUGGCAUAGUCCCUGGGGCAAGAAAUUAAAAAGUUUCCCUUGGAGGUGAAGGGAGGUCCCCAGCUUUUCUCAGCUUUAUAGCUUGGGAACUGCGUGAUUUUGGUCCAGGGCUCAAAUGCAGCCAUUGUGCCUAAAAAGGUGAUGGUGGCAAUGCUGUGUCAUGCCUAUGACCUGUUCAGUAGUUUUGACAGGGAGCAAGGCUGUUACUAACUGACACACUCAACUGCCUUGAAAAAAAAAUAUAUAUUGUUUUUGUUCAGGGAAGUGUCUGUCUUAGUUCCCAAAAUGCAGCAGAUUUAUGGAUGUGGUGUUAAGAAGGAGCAGGAGAGCUUGGCUUAAAGCAGGAGCUUAAGGGGGGAGAAGGGAAGAUUGGGACAGCCUUUAUUAGCAGGGCACUGCAAACACAACAUACUCGAAAUCCCUUUUUCUUUUAACAUUUUCCCCAGCUUGGGUCUUGCUCAACCAGCCAGAGAACAAAUCUGACACAACCUGUGGGAGCACAAUGGCAGCUUGUCUAUGGCUUGAAAUGCAUACAUCAAGAACAGAGGCCUGUCCUCAAGGCCGUGCACCUAGAAGAGAAAAUAGAGAAACAGAAUACAAAGACUCAACCAUGCCAAACAGGAAGAAAAUGAAGGAGGGAAAAAAAGAAGAAGAAGAAGAAGAAGAAGAAGAAAAGCCAGAUCACCAAGGUAAAUCAUUGACUACGAGCUAUUCACUUCACAGCACGGUGAUGCUGUUUUGUGUGUAGAUCCUCCCCAUUUGCAGAACAGCUUCUUCACCAAAGAACCCAAAGCACUUCCCAAACUCCCCUGCACUCAUUUACUUAUUUCACAUCCCCCCAACCUGCAGCCAUGCACUUUCACACUCAGUCUGAAGAAAAUAACCUUCCUCAAGUCAACCAGAAACAGAAAGACUAAAACAACAGCCACCAGAAAAGGUCUGGAGAGCAAAAAGCACUCCCCAGAAGGGAGAGGGCCUGGAAGGACAAAAGAUGUCAUGGAUCCACUAAUAUAUGAGGUCCUCUUGCCAAUCAGAUAGUGCCUAGGGGUGCAAUUUGCCCCACUGGGGGAAUCUGAUUUCACACAAGUGAUCGCUGGAUUUCCUUUUUCCUCAGUGCAGACGGUAUCUGGAGAUCAAAGCCCCACUGGGAGGUGGUAAAUAGUAUAUUCCCACUUUGAUCGAUCUGUAACUACCACGAAUGCAAACACAGCAAGAGGAGAACACAUCCUUUAUGCAACACUUCCUAUGCUUUUCAGACUAGUCAUAUUGCUGACCAAAAGAAACAGAUUUAAAGGGCAGAGUUAGUCAAAUUCUGCUCUGUGCUUUUCCUUUGCUAUUAUAGUGCUUCAUUAAGGGUGAUGGGGGAUCUAUUCCUUUGCUCUCCCCCCUCUUCUGCUCCACUCAGUCAUCCUCUAGACCAGGUAAUAUGUAACUCCAUUCAUUGUGAUGCUAACGAGUUCUAUUUAGCUGUAUUUAACUGGAUAUCGUGACUCCAUGCGAUGACCUUUCACUCCUGGGAAGUAGUUUUAAAUUUGAUCCACAGCAAAGGAAAAUCCCUUCAAUUCAUUGGCUGUGAAAGGUCACAAGUGAAAUGUGUUCUGAUGGUAUCUGCUCGUGGUUUAGUUCUCAGUAUACCUGAGCAUCAAGCUGGUCUGAAUCAGCUUUUGUCCUGACAGCCUGAGUACCAAGCACCCUGAGAAAGCACUGUGGAAAAGGCCGCCAAGCAUCUGGUGCUGCCAACUGGUAUA
Molecule: long non-coding RNA, 1921 nt
Filed under: Anser brachyrhynchus (Pink-footed goose)
Lineage: Eukaryota; Metazoa; Chordata; Aves; Anseriformes; Anatidae
Description: lncRNA (ENSABRG00000004717.1)
Source: RNAcentral